Caenorhabditis brenneri is the source of this 71-nucleotide non-coding RNA. Lineage: Eukaryota; Metazoa; Nematoda; Chromadorea; Rhabditida; Rhabditidae. The record is from the annotation of a GenBank genome assembly.
UGCCCAUGGCUUAGUGGCUAAAGCUGUUGGCUUUGAAUUUCGGUACUCGGGUUCGAUUCCAACUAGGGUAA